Molecule: ribosomal RNA, 253 nt
Filed under: uncultured bacterium
Lineage: Bacteria
Description: partial 16S ribosomal RNA
Rfam family: Bacterial small subunit ribosomal RNA
Source: RNAcentral
UACGGAGGGUGCAAGCGUUAUCCGGAUUCACUGGGUUUAAAGGGCGCGUAGGCGGCCUGGUAAGUAGGGGGUGAAAUCCUGCGGCUUAACCGCAGGGCUGCCUUCUAAACUGUCAGGCUCGAGCACGGUAGAGGCAGAUGGAAUUCCCGGUGUAGCGGUGGAAUGCGUAGAGAUCGGGAAGAACAUCAGUGGCGAAGGCGGUCUGCUGGGCCGUUGCUGACGCUGAGGCGCGACAGCGUGGGGAGCAAACAGG